AAGCUCCUUGAUAUUAAGUUUAUUUGAAAGUGCUAGCCACAGCAAAUAUUUGAUUUUUAAUAGUAGUUUACUCUUCCAAAUCAACUUGGCCAUAGACCACUUCAUACCUCUAGAGAUAAGAAAGUUAUAUAAGGAACAUGAAGAAAAGUUGUCUAAAGGUUCUAACUGCCAAAUAAUUUUCUUGCUUAACAAUUGGAGUCAGAGUGGUAGGUCGAAUGCCCCAAGUUCCUCGUCUAUUAUUGAAAAAGGAGGCCCCA
This 257-nucleotide long non-coding RNA is filed under the name Elaeis guineensis (African oil palm). Its description in RNAcentral is "long non-coding RNA (EGUI_LNC030598)". The record is from RNAcentral. Lineage: Eukaryota; Viridiplantae; Streptophyta; Magnoliopsida; Arecales; Arecaceae.